RNAcentral lists this ribosomal RNA (488 nucleotides) under uncultured bacterium. RNAcentral's name for it is "bacterial SSU rRNA". It matches the Rfam family "Bacterial small subunit ribosomal RNA", at positions 26 to 525 of the family's 1533-position model. The record is from RNAcentral.
AGAGCGAACGCUAGCGGCGGGCCUAACACAUGCAAGUCGAGCGGAGAACUUCGGUUUUUAGCGGCGGACGGGUGAGUAACGCGUAGGUAAUGUGCCUUCUGGUGGGGAACAACCGUGCGAAAGCAUGGCUAAUACCGCAUAUGUCGAGAGAUGAAAGCCUUCGGGCGCCAGUAGAGCAGCCUGCGUCCCAUUAUUUAGUCCUAGUUGGUGAGGUAACGGCUCACCAAGGGUACGAUGGGUAGCUGGUCUGAGAGGAUGAUCAGCCACACUGGAACUGAGACACGGUCCAGACUCCUACGGGAGGCAGCAGUGGGGAAUAUUGCGCAAUGGGCGAAAGCCUGACGCAGCCACGCCGCGUGAGUGAAGAAGGCCUUCGGGUUGUAAAGCUCUUUCAGACGGAAAGAAAUCGCGCGCACGGACAUAGCGCGUGGAUGACGGUACCGUAAGAAGAAGCACUAACGGACUACGUGCCAGCAGCCGCGGUAAUA